This 194-nucleotide small nuclear RNA is filed under the name Centruroides sculpturatus (bark scorpion). RNAcentral's name for it is "U2 spliceosomal RNA". It matches the Rfam family "U2 spliceosomal RNA". From Rfam's summary of the family: U2 is a small nuclear RNA (snRNA) component of the spliceosome (involved in pre-mRNA splicing). Complementary binding between U2 snRNA (in an area lying towards the 5' end but 3' to hairpin I) and the branchpoint sequence (BPS) of the intron results the bulging out of an unpaired adenosine, on the BPS, which initiates a nucleophilic attack at the intronic 5' splice site, thus starting the first of two transesterification reactions that mediate splicing. The record is from RNAcentral. Lineage: Eukaryota; Metazoa; Arthropoda; Arachnida; Scorpiones; Buthidae.
ACAAAGUUAAUGUCAAUAAACUUUAAUUAAAAGUAAAAGUAUCUGUACUUAUCAGCUUGAUAUCUGAUACGGUUUCAAUCUGAGACCUUCGAUAUUAACCUGAUUUUUGGAACUGGGCGAGAAAGGGGGCUUGCUCCCUCCCCGCCACGGGUUGCUCUGGCCUGGCACUUAUUGCCAGAGAUAGCCCACCCCCU